GAUGAACGCUGGCGGCGUGCCUAAUACAUGCAAGUCGAGCGAACGGACGAGAAGCUUGCUUCUCUGAUGUUAGCGGCGGAUGGGUGAGUAACACGUGGAUAACCUACCUAUAAGACUGGGAUAACUUCGGGAAACCGUAGCUAAUACCGGAUAAUAUUUUGAACCGCAUGGUUCAAAAGUGAAAGACGGUCUUGCUGUCACUUAUAGAUGGAUCCGCGCUGCAUUAGCUAGUUGGUAAGGUAACGGCUUACCAAGGCAACGAUGCAUAGCCGACCUGAGAGGGUGAUCGGCCACACUGGAACUGAGACACGGUCCAGACUCCUACGGGAGGCAGCAGUAGGGAAUCUUCCGCAAUGGGCGAAAGCCUGACGGAGCAACGCCGCGUGAGUGAUGAAGGUCUUCGGAUCGUAAAACUCUGUUAUUAGGGAAGAACAUAUGUGUAAGUAACUGUGCACAUCUUGACGGUACCUAAUCAGAAAGCCACGGCUAACUACGU
Molecule: ribosomal RNA, 496 nt
Filed under: uncultured bacterium
Lineage: Bacteria
Description: partial 16S ribosomal RNA
Rfam family: Bacterial small subunit ribosomal RNA
Source: RNAcentral